AACUUUGUGCAGUGGCAGUAUUACAGCUAAUGAGGUUUAUCUGAAAUGCAAUAAUUAUUAAUUGAAAACUUUUCCCAAUACCUCACCAUGACAACUUGAAUUAUAGUUGGUAUUGAUAAUUUUAGACAGACUCUACAGAGA
Molecule: small nuclear RNA, 141 nt
Organism: Otolemur garnettii (small-eared galago)
Lineage: Eukaryota; Metazoa; Chordata; Mammalia; Primates; Galagidae
Gene: U4
Rfam family: U4 spliceosomal RNA
About the family: U4 small nuclear RNA (U4 snRNA) is a component of the major U2-dependent spliceosome. The structure of U4 snRNA from yeast and human has been reported.
Source: Ensembl